RNAcentral lists this ribosomal RNA (492 nucleotides) under uncultured bacterium. RNAcentral's name for it is "partial 16S ribosomal RNA". It matches the Rfam family "Bacterial small subunit ribosomal RNA", at positions 38 to 507 of the family's 1533-position model. The record is from RNAcentral.
GGGGGGGGGGGGCGGGGGGGCUGGCAGGUGCGAGUCGAAGGGCGGCACAGUGGUAGCUUGCUCGUACGGGUGGCGAGUGGCGGGCGGGUGAGGAAGGCACCGGGAUCUACUUUUUCGUGGGGGAUAACGGAGUGGAACUUACGCUAAUACCGCAUACGACAUACGGGUGACAGCAGGGGCUCUUCGGCCCUUGCGCGAGUGAAUGAGCCGAUGUCGGAUUAGCUAGUUGGCGGGGUAAAGGCCCACCAAGGCGACGAUCCGUAGCUGGUCUGAGAGGAUGAUCAGCCACACUGGAACUGAGACACGGUCCAGACUCCUACGGGAGGCAGCAGUGGGGAAUAUUGGACAAUGGGCGCAAGCCUGAUCCAGCCAUACCGCGUGGGUGAAGAAGGCCUUCGGGUUGUAAAGCCCUUUUGUUGGGAAAGAAAAGCAGCAGGUUAAUACCCCGCUGUUCUGACGGUACCCAAAGAAUAAGCACCGGCUAACUUCGUG